This 623-nucleotide small RNA is filed under the name Pongo abelii (Sumatran orangutan). RNAcentral describes it as "processed transcript". The record is from RNAcentral. Lineage: Eukaryota; Metazoa; Chordata; Mammalia; Primates; Hominidae.
GGCUUUCCACAGGCUGGCCCUGACGAAGCUGGACAUCCUGGACGUACUGGGUGAGAUUAAAGUCGGCGUCUCAUACAAGCUGAACGGGAAAAGGAUUCCCUAUUUCCCAGCUAACCAGGAGAUGCUUCAGAAGGUCGAAGUCGAAUAUGAAACGCUGCCUGGCUGGAAAGCAGACACCACAGGCGCCAGGAGGUGGGAGGACCUGCCCCCGCAGGCCCAGAACUACAUCCGCUUUGUGGAGAAUCACGUGGGAGUCGCAGUCAAAUGGGUUGGUGUUGGCAAGUCAAGAGAGUCGAUGAUCCAGCUGUUUUAGUCGCAGACUGAGCUGAUCCCAACAGGCCCUGGCAGCGUCUGGACUUGUAUAAACAGCAGCAAUCACGUUCCUCGGCCACCACAACCAACACCAAAGCAGGAAAACCAUUUUCUGUACUUUUAUAUUUCUGUUCAACCUGUUGGUUUCUACAAUGAUUUUAAACAUUGGAAAGCCAGCCUUGUGUAUAUUUUUAAAAAUUAUAUUUAAAAUGAGCCAAAGUGCUCAAAGCAGAGACCUUCUAUGACACCUUAGUGUCACAUGGUUGCGUGUCCAGCCGAAGCAGCGUAAUAAACAUCUCCAAUGGCCGCCG